Anser brachyrhynchus (Pink-footed goose) is the source of this 522-nucleotide long non-coding RNA. The record is from Ensembl. NCBI's taxonomy places the organism in Eukaryota, Metazoa, Chordata, Aves, Anseriformes, Anatidae.
AUGGUAUUAUGCUGACCUCUGGGAUCACUGAAGAGGUCAGACUAUCUGAACUGUUCUGAAUUCGCAGGUAAAGGGAAGAAGAGCAAUGGCUUUAUUUAAUGUACUUGCCUUCAUCAUGCCCGUACAACAGAAACCUCACUGCCUACAGACUUAAAUGAGAAAUGUAUGGAGGUGACUUCUGCCUCAUGCUCUUGUCAGGAAUUGCGUUGACUGCUGUCAGAAACCACUAGCAAUGGCUUAAAAUAUUGCAUCAUCUUACAGUCUUUGCCUUUAAUGAAAGAAGAUUAAAGACUGAGAAAGACUAAGAGAAAUGUUUUAUGAACAUCUUGAGAAAGACAUGAAAGCAGCAGUAAGCAGAAAGGUGUGGCUAGCAGGACAACCUGCUCACCAUAUUGUCCUUCCAAUGUGGCUGGUCAAGGUUACUAUUUUGCUCUUCUGACAUGUUAUCAAUUAUCCUGCCAACAGACUGAUACCGGACCUGUAGUUUUCUUAUAAAAUAAAAAACUGAGUUUAAUUAAACCA